GCGGCCUUGGUGCGUGUGUGUGCAUGUGAACAUUGUUGCGUCUCUUAAUUGCUCAGUAUCGCGCCUGUACACUGGCAAUUCUCCAAGAUGUUUGGUUUCGCGAUGAUAAUUAAAAAUUAAUAGUCCCGGUAAGUGCAUGUAAGUACAUCAAUCCGAAGGAUACAGGCAAUUUUGAUCCUCACAAGUGGUACCGGGUGUUCUGGAAGGAUAACACACACUGCGGCCACUAUCACGCUCAAGUGAUUAAGCUUUACGGCACCGAGGAUGAUGCAAGGAAUGCAACAGAAAAAACGACCAUCCAUUACGCAGACCCGAUUGCGACUCCUCCGAUGGCUGCAGUUAAAAUGAAGUGGACAAUGAGUCGUUUAAAAACAAAGAACCUUGUCCCUUUGCGGGUGUUGCAGCACAAGCCCUCAAAAACAGAGGCGACUUGC
Long non-coding RNA from Rhipicephalus microplus (southern cattle tick), 434 nucleotides. Lineage: Eukaryota; Metazoa; Arthropoda; Arachnida; Ixodida; Ixodidae. The record is from RefSeq and is a predicted model, not a curated record.